AGUGAACGCUGGCGGUAGGCCUAACACAUGCAAGUCGAACGGCAGCACAGUAAGAGCUUGCUCUUACGGGUGGCGAGUGGCGGACGGGUGAGGAAUACAUCGGAAUCUACUUUUUCGUGGGGGAUAACGUAGGGAAACUUACGCUAAUACCGCAUACGACCUACGGGUGAAAGCAGUGGAUCUUCGGACCUUGCGCGAUUGAAUGAGCCGAUGUCGGAUUAGCUAGUUGGCGGGGUAAAGGCCCACCAAGGCGACGAUCCGUAGCUGGUCUGAGAGGAUGAUCAGCCACACUGGAACUGAGACACGGUCCAGACUCCUCCGGGAGGCAGCAGUGGGGAAUAUUGGAAAAUGGGCGCAAUCCGGCUCCAGCCAUACCGCGUAGUUGAAGAAGGCCUUCGGGUUGUAAACCCCUUUUGUUGGGAAAGAAAAGCAGCAGGUUAAUACCCCGCUGUUCUGACGGUACCCAAAGAAUAAGCACCGGCUAACUUCGUG
RNAcentral lists this ribosomal RNA (492 nucleotides) under uncultured bacterium. RNAcentral describes it as "partial 16S ribosomal RNA". It matches the Rfam family "Bacterial small subunit ribosomal RNA", at positions 29 to 507 of the family's 1533-position model. The record is from RNAcentral.